RNAcentral lists this ribosomal RNA (254 nucleotides) under uncultured bacterium. RNAcentral's name for it is "partial 16S ribosomal RNA". It matches the Rfam family "Bacterial small subunit ribosomal RNA", at positions 524 to 776 of the family's 1533-position model. The record is from RNAcentral.
UACGGGGGGAGCAAGCGUUGUUCGGAUUUACUGGGCGUAAAGGGCGCGUAGGCGGUCGUGAAAAGUCACUUGUGAAAUCUCCGGGCUUAACUCGGAAAGGUCAAGUGAUACUGUCGGACUAGAGUACAGAAGGGGCAACUGGAAUUCUCGGUGUAGCGGUGAAAUGCGUAGAUAUCGAGAGGAACACCUGCGGCGAAGGCGGGUUGCUGGGCUGAUACUGACGCUGAGGCGCGAAAGCGUGGGGAGCAAACAGG